RNAcentral lists this ribosomal RNA (468 nucleotides) under uncultured bacterium. RNAcentral describes it as "partial 16S ribosomal RNA". It matches the Rfam family "Bacterial small subunit ribosomal RNA", at positions 28 to 507 of the family's 1533-position model. The record is from RNAcentral.
GACGAACGCUGGCGGCGUGCUUAACACAUGCAAGUCGAACGGAAAGGCCCUGCUUUUGUGGGGUGCUCGAGUGGCGAACGGGUGAGUAACACGUGAGUAACCUGCCCUUGACUUUGGGAUAACUUCAGGAAACUGGGGCUCAUACCGGAUAGGAGCUCCUGCUGCAUGGGGGGGGUUGGAAAGUUUCGGCUGUUGGGGAUGGACUCGAGGCUUAUCAGCUUGUUGGUGGGGUAGUGGCUUACCAAGGCUUUGACGGGUAGCCGGCCUGGGAGGGUGACCGGCCACAUUGGGACUGAGAUACGGCCCAGACUCCUACGGGAGGCAGCAGUGGGGAAUAUUGCACAAUGGGCGGAAGCCUGAUGCAGCAACGCCGCGUGCGGGAUGACGGCCUUCGGGUCGUAAACCGCUUUCGCCUGUGACGAAGCGUGAGUGACGGUAAUGGGUAAAGAAGCACCGGCUAACUACGUG